ACUUGAGUUUCGCGUGUUCAAAGAUAAACCAUUCCAAAUUCGAGGUGCAGUCAUACAAAAAGAUUUUGAGCCUAAGGAGGUUUUUUGUUGACGACGUAUUAUUCUUUGAUGUAUUGGUAACCAAUGAAGAGAUUUCAGCAAUAUUUCUGAUUUUAAAUGGAAAGGAGAAUGGAAAACAAUAUGAGAUAAGUUAUUUUGAAUUCGUUGGAGUUUUUUAAUAUUUUUUUGAUAAAUGCCAGAUAAAAUGCUGUUACAAUAGUCAAGUUGAGAGUUAACAAUGCCACAAGCAAUUAUGUUUGCAGCUUCUUUGGUCAGACAUGGACGAAUGUGGCGAAGUGCACGAAUGUGGUAAUUGCAGGAUUUAAUAAUAUUGUUUAUGUGCUUGUCCAUAGAGAGCUUUGAAUCUAGGAUGACUCCAAGGAUUUUUACUGAAUUUAUUGUAGUUAUUGUGGUUCCAGAAAACGCAAUAUUCAAAUCAUUUUUA
Non-coding RNA from Hydra vulgaris (swiftwater hydra), 484 nucleotides. Lineage: Eukaryota; Metazoa; Cnidaria; Hydrozoa; Anthoathecata; Hydridae. The record is from RefSeq and is a predicted model, not a curated record.